RNAcentral lists this ribosomal RNA (266 nucleotides) under uncultured bacterium. RNAcentral's name for it is "partial 16S ribosomal RNA". It matches the Rfam family "Bacterial small subunit ribosomal RNA", at positions 524 to 788 of the family's 1533-position model. The record is from RNAcentral.
UACAGAGGGUGCAAGCGUUGUUCGGAAUCAUUGGGCGUAAAGGGCUAGUAGGCGGCUUGGCAAGUCGGAUGUGAAAACUCCAGGCUCAACCUGGAGACGCCACUCGAUACUGCCAUGGCUAGAGUCCGGUAGGGGAGCACGGAAUUCCUGGUGUAGCGGUGAAAUGCGCAGAUAUCAGGAGGAACACCGGUGGCGAAGGCGGUACUCUGGGCCGGAACUGACGCUGAAUAGCGAAAGCGUGGGUAGCAAACAGGAUUAGAAACCCU